GAUGAACGCUGGCGGCGUGCCUAAUACAUGCAAGUCGAGCGAACGGACGAGGAGCUUGCUUUUCUGACGUUAGCGGCGGACGGGUGAGUAACACGUGGAUAACCUACCUAUAAGACUGGGAUAACUUCGGGAAACCGGAGCUAAUACCGGAUAAUAUUUUGAACCGCAUGGUUCAACAGUGAAAGACGGUCUUGCUGUCACUUAUAGAUGGAUCCGCGCUGCAUUAGCUAGUUGGUAAGGUAACGGCUUACCAAGGCAACGAUGCAUAGCCGACCUGAGAGGGUGAUCGGCCACACUGGAACUGAGACACGGUCCAGACUCCUACGGGAGGCAGCAGUAGGGAAUCUUCCGCAAUGGGCGAAAGCCUGACGGAGCAACGCCGCGUGAGUGAAGAAGGUCUUCGGAUCGUAAAACUCUGUUAUUAGGGAAGAACAUAUGUGUAAGUAACUGUGCACGUCUUGACGGUACCUAAUCAGAAAGCCACGGCUAACUACGUG
Molecule: ribosomal RNA, 497 nt
Filed under: uncultured bacterium
Lineage: Bacteria
Description: partial 16S ribosomal RNA
Rfam family: Bacterial small subunit ribosomal RNA
Source: RNAcentral